Molecule: ribosomal RNA, 801 nt
Filed under: Bifidobacterium longum
Lineage: Bacteria; Bacillati; Actinomycetota; Actinomycetes; Bifidobacteriales; Bifidobacteriaceae
Description: partial 23S ribosomal RNA
Rfam family: Bacterial large subunit ribosomal RNA
Source: RNAcentral
GCUUGCGAGGGCGUAUGGUGGAUGCCUUGGCAGACAGUACCGAUGAAGGACGUUUGAGGAUGCGAUAAUCCUAGGGGAGCCUCCAACAUGGCUUUGAUCCUAGGGUCUCCGAAUGGGGGAACCCGCCGGCCGUCAUGGGCCGGCACCGCCUAUGGGCGGGGGGUACGCAGGGAAGUGAAACAUCUCAGUACCUGCAGGAAGGGAUACUCCGUGAGUAGUGGCGAGCGAAAGCGGAUCAGACCAAACCGGUUGCGCGUGAUACCCGUCGGGGGUUGCGUUGCCGGUGUCGUGGGAUCACGUGUCCCGGUUCCGACGGGCCGGGCGGGAGUCAUAAAACGGCUUGCCAGGGGAACAGGCUUGAAGGCCUGGCCGUAGAGGGUGCCAGCCCCGUACCUGGACGUGAGCCGUCUUCCGAUCGUGUUGUCCCAAGUAGCGCGGGCCUCGUGGAAUCCCGCGUGAAUCAGCCCAGACCGUUGGGUAAGUCUAAGCAUACCUGUCUGACCGAUAGCGUACCAGUACCGUGAGGGAAAGGUGAAAAGCACCCCGGGAGGGGAGUGAAACAGUUCCUGAAACCGUGCGCCUACAAUCCGUCGGAGCCUCCUUGUGGGGUGACGGCGUGCCUAUCGAAAAAUGAGUCUGCGAGUCAGUGGUGCGUGGCGAGGCUAACCCGUCGUGGGGGAGCCGUAGCGAAGGCGAGUCUCAAAAGGCGUUUUGAGUCGCGUGCCCUGGACCCGAAGCGGGAUGAUCUAGCCCUGGGCAGGUUGAAGCGCGGGUAAGACCGCGUGGAGGACCGAACCCACC